UGAAAAGUGAAAAGUAAGAAGAUUAUAAGUGGUGGGGUAUAGUCCAAAAAUAGGUAGGAAGUUCUUUUGUGGACGUCCCAAAAAAGAAAGAUAUGAAGUUCUUUCGUGGACGGAGGGAGUAUGAUAUUAUAAAAAAUUAAAAAAAUAAAAGAAAAAAAUGAAAAUAAAAUAAAAUUGAAAAAUAAAUUUAUUAAAAAAGAAGAAGAUAGAUGACGGAUAAUUUUCUUAAAUUUUAAUCCUUACAUAAAUAAAAGUUUUUACAUCUUAAAUCCAAUAUUAACAUUUACUCCCUCCGUCACCUAUCUUGACUCUUGAGACUGUUUCUAUUUGGAGCGUCCCACCUAUCUUAAGAC
RNAcentral lists this long non-coding RNA (353 nucleotides) under Salvia miltiorrhiza (redroot sage). Its description in RNAcentral is "long non-coding RNA (SMIL_LNC009106)". Lineage: Eukaryota; Viridiplantae; Streptophyta; Magnoliopsida; Lamiales; Lamiaceae. The record is from RNAcentral.